Cyprinus carpio (common carp) is the source of this 657-nucleotide long non-coding RNA. The record is from Ensembl. NCBI's taxonomy places the organism in Eukaryota, Metazoa, Chordata, Actinopteri, Cypriniformes, Cyprinidae.
AAAUGUUACCCUGUUAUUAAUCAGCAUAAUGUCCUCGAAAAAGCAUUUGCCUCCACAACAUGCGUGGGUAACCUUUCUCUUUAAUUAUAUCUGCAGCAACCUGACUAGAUGUAUAAGAAUGAUAUGUCCCAACCUUGGAGGGAACAUUCACAAAUUUAUUGUUUUUAAUCUUUUUAGCACACAACCGUGAGUGAAAAUGAGUCCCCCACUGAAGCCAUCAAUCAACGUAAUGGAUAUGAGGCAGGACAUCUCUAGAGAUGCGGCAGUGAAACUCUGCCCCUCUUAUUCCAUCACCACCGCUCUGAACGGCAGCCUAGGGAGACCAGGAGCAGGACAAUACCAGCCUUUCACUCAAGCAAGGCAUGACCUGUCAUCAGUAGGAGUCAAAGAACUUCAACCUCCUCAGACUCUGACACUUCAACAUGAAGCAAUGAAAACUGGAAUGUGUGAUGGCUUUCACCUGCAAACAUGCCUCUCCCGUCUUUGAAGAACAGAUUUGGAGAAAUUCAGCAUUACAUCACUUGCUCACCAAUGGAUCCUCUGCAGUGAAUGGGUGCCGUCAGAAUGAGAGUCCAAACAGCUGAUAAAAACAUCCCCAAAAUCCACAGGUAAUCCACACAGUCCAUCAAUAAAUAUCUUGUGAAACAAAAAGCUACA